UUACCAUGAUUUUGUAUGAAGUUCUUAGGUUAUACCCGCCGGUAAUUAUGCUUAAUCGAGAUGUUCAUGAAGAAAUAAAGCUUGGAAAUUUGCUAUUACCUGCCGGAGUGCAGAUCUCGGUGCCAACAAUCCUCCUUCACCAAGAUCAUGAACUAUGGGGUGAUGAUGUCUCUGAGUUCAAACCAGAGAGGUUUGCUGAAGGUGUUUCAAAGGCAACAAAGAGUCAAGUCUCAUUCCUUCCAUUUGGAUGGGGUCCUCGAAUAUGCGUUGGACAAAACUUUGCUUUGAUUGAAGCAAAAAUGGCUUUGGCAAUGGUUUUACAGCGUUACUCUUUUGAGCUCUCGCCGUCGUAUAUUCAUGCUCCUCGCACUGUCAUAACUCUUCAGCCACAGCACGGUGUGCCAAUGAUAUUACGUAAACUCCAAAAUGUUCAUAUGUGACGGGUAAGAGUCAUCCCAGGGUAUAAAGUAGGUUGGAUCUCCCAACAAACCAAACCAAAAAGAAAACUUCUAGUAUAUUAUGUGCAAAUUAUGCUAUCAUGUCCAAUGAUAUGUUUGUCAUAUUAAUCACAACAUUAUAGUACCGUGGGUUGUUUUGCUGUAAUCGUAGUAGAUUACUAUAAUAAAAUUACAUAUUUGCUUUUGAGUAGGAAAGAAAGAAAGUCCUGAGGGUGGGGUGUUUUGGUCUAUUUUAUUAACCCAUUCAUUAUUAAAAAAAUUAUUAAGGGUGUAGAAUUUAUUUUUUUGUACGAUAAAAAGAUUAUUUUACUUUCAAAGUCAACAAAACUUAAAGUGGUUGAAUAAUUUUUUUUUUUUUUACUUUUUAUAAAAUUUGAGAUAGUAAUAUUUUUUUUUAUCUAGGAUUAAAAAUUUUUUGGGCUAUUAGGCAAUGGUUUUUUUUCCCCUGUAUUUUUGGCCCUAGAUAAAACAGAAAACAAAAAAUCGGGUUUAUAUUUAGGGGUAUUUUUAUACUUUCACACGGGCUUUUAGAUAAUUAACAAAGUCAUAAGAGUUUUUUUAAUAUUUUUAAGUUGAGUUUUUAAUUUUUUAAUCAGAAAAGUUGUUGGUGUGUGGUAAACACACCGACAAGUAGAUGACGUCUGAGUCAUUCUAAUGUGAUCUAGUUGUCCCAUUUAAAACUUGAUUUGACUCCAAAAAAAACUUUAAGUUGUCAUUAUUUUAACCUUUGCGCAAUCCAAUCAAGUUCAAAUAAGGAAUAAUGGAUUGUGAUAUGAGGAAAUCGUGGUGAAACAAAAAGAUAAAACCAUAUUGGAUCAAACUCAAUCAAUCUAGGUAACACCUACCACAUGCGUUGGCAUGAUCAUGACAUGAUCACAAUAAGCUUAUAUGGUUUGGUUAUUUGUUUCUUUUAUUUUCCUUCCUUUAUUUUCUUCUAGGUUGGGUUUUUAUUGGGCUUUGGUAUGAUAAGACUUGGGAUCAAUUGAAGAGUUAUAAAAGACUUAGGAACCAAAUAAAAAAUAUUAAAAGAGUUAUAAAAGAAUCAAAGGUGAAAUAAAAAAUAUAUAAUAAGAGACUAAAUAAAAAUAAAAAAAGGUGCGUGCAAUGCACACAUCAAUAUGGAAAAAAGCUUGUCGUGUUUAAACAACGUGUGUAACUUUCUUUAAGUUAUGAUGAAGGAUGCCCUUUGUUGGAAUUGCCUCGGCGGCAUCUCUCUUCCAUGGCAUCAAUAGUGUAGUCAUGAUGGGGCGCUAACAACCUUUUUUUCUUGUAUUUUUUUUCUCCUCUAUUCCUUUUUUUCUCAUCCCCUUAAUUCUUGGGCAUGACCUGGAGAAGAAAAAAAAAAUAAUCACAAUUUUAAUCUACAAUAACUUAUUUAACUUCUUAGAAAAAAGCAUAAUCAUGCUUUCAAUGUCAAACCAUGUCAUCAUUAGGGGGAAAAAAUGAAAAUAUCGUGUAACUUAUAAAUCGCUCUUCAUGCUGAGAUUCUAAUUACCAUUUAUUUAUUUAUUUUAUCUACUCCAAUCAACAAUUUUCUUACUCUCAUGAAUUAUUAAUUUAAUGACUACAGCCGUAAAGAAUCCAAACAAAGGAAUAUUAGUUCCAAACACUAGUAAACAAGAUAUGGAGAUGGCCAUUCACACAAGUGCGUUUGGUAUUGUGGUGACUGUUGUGGUUGUGAUAUGAAAAAAGUACUUUCAUAAAAAAGUGCUUUUAGUUGAGGUUUGUCUGUAAAAAUAUAUGUUUGGUUAAAACUGUGAUUGAAAUUAAGGUUGAAGAAAAAAUUGUUUAAUGUGUUUGGUUCAAAAUUGUGGUUCAAUUUUUUUUAUUGUAUAAUUACCUAAAAGGACUUAAUUCAUAAUACUAAUGAACAAUCUCAUAAAAUUAACAUUACAACUAAUAAAUUUUUGCAAAUAGACCUAAACAUAUUAGAAUAAUAAUUUAUAAUUGUUUCAUUAAACUUGCAGCAAUCCCAUCACGUACGUAAUCCAUUCGCGAAGGCCUUUGGUGUCCUUGACUUUGUAAACGUGAAGCCACAUCAGUUAGAAAAUCAUCAGGCACAAAAUCAGGAUGGCGAUCAAACUCCAUGAAUGCCACAUCUUGCAUUGAAGUUCUUCUAAUGUAAUUAUGAAUUGCCAUGGAUGCGACAACAAUUUCAACUUGUGUCUUGUAAUUAAAGGAUGACAUAUUCUGUAGAAUUCGCCAUCUUUUUUUUCCAAACUCCAAAUGUUCGUUCUAUCACACAACGUAAUGAAGAGUGCAUACGGUUGAAAAUUUCUUCACGAGUUUGUGGUUGUCCUCGCCUCCUAAAUUCUUGCAAAUGAUAUCUCUGACCUCUAUAUGGACCUAAAAAUCCAUAUUCAUUAGGAUAUCCUGAAUCAACCAAGUAGUUUUUCACUGAUAAAACAUAUAAUUGUUUUAAAUUGAAAAUUAAAAAAACAAAAAAAAAAAACAAAAUUACAUUACUAAUCAUAUAUACAGACACACACAAACACGUAUUACUACCUUCUGGUGGCUUAGGAAAUUUUAUACGUGGAUUGUCAAUUGCCUCGAGAAAAAUUCGUGUAUCAUGUGCACUACCUUCCCAACCCUCCCAAACAAAUAUGAAUUGCAUGUCAAAGCUACAUGCAGCCAUAACAUUCUGGGUUGGCACACCUUUUCGACUGAUAAAUGGAAUUUGAUUUUCAAAAGAAACACAUGCACGUACAUGUGUAUCGUCGAUAGCUCCUACACAAUUCUAAUAUAUGAUAAACCAGCAAAAUAACAUCAAUUUCAGCUGACAAAAAAAUUAAAUUUCACAAAUUCAUGAAAUACGAAUCACCAUUAACAAAUACGAUUAACGACAUCACCUUGAAAUGUGGCAUGUACCUCGGAUUGUUCACAAUUUCCCUCGGUGUGUUUACGAACCCGGGAUCUGCAGGUUGAAUUAAAUCUGUAGCAAGCGAACAAACUGAUCUAAGAACUUCAUUAAAGUACCUACUAAUUGUUUCUCCUGAAUGUUGGAAUCUCUCUUGAACUUCCCUAUUGGAAGCAACUAAAGCUAUUGUAUAAAGAAAUAUUCCAACUUUUUCAAAAACACACAUUCUUCUAGAUGCCGUUAACCCGUAUUAGUUUUCAAGUUUAAAGCACAUACUCUGAAAUGUCGGCGCAUCCAUCCUAAACAUAAACACACAACGCGUCUAAUGUCCAUGUAGAAUUUCUGUCAACCAUUGCAUUCUAGUGUUGUAUGAAUCCAUACAAGGCUCCUUAUAUAUAUAAGUAUUAUAAUAUAAAGCUAUGGCACCUGCCGUGCAUAAAAUCAAUUUCUGAUCAUCAAACCCCCUUUCCCAAAAUAGCUCACCUUCUUCAUCUGAAUCGUCAUCGUUGUUGUCGUCAGUAUCAGAACUGUUACUACCACUGCAAUCUCCAUCGUUUAUAGACAAAUUCCCAUAAUUAACGUAAUCGGCAACGUUAUUCAUUACAUCAUCAUAAUCCCCAUCAAAAAGUAUUGAAAACCAAUGCGAAUCCAUAUCUAUCAUGCCAUAAAAUUUUUGUGAAUAAUUGAAAAUUGUAUGACUUUUUUACAAAAAAACACAAAUGGAUAAUGCAAACCGAAAUAAGUGUUAUUGUUCAAUAUCUCCACGUUUUAUGAAAUUUUGCUCGGCAUGUAAAUUUUAUAACGCAAUAUUUAUUUGCAAUUUAGUCCUUUACCUCCUUUGAUAGUGAAAUUGAAUUUCUUUUUCCAAAAUGCCUAUUAUCUCUAAUAUAAAUUUAUAAUUCCACUUGCUAUAAACAACCUAAAAAAUAGAAGUUUAAGAGCUAACUUCAGUCCAAUUCCAGAAACAAUCAGCAGUUCACACACAUAUUGUUUUUACCAUACAACAUUCAAAAUUGCAUUUCCAAAACUGAUUUAUGCGUGUGCAGCUAGAUGGAAACUAACUGACUUUGGAAAAACCAUAAACAUCAAGAGAUCAAAAAAGUCCAAUUCCCUAAACAGCCAUGAACAACUCACACACAAAUUUUUUGAACCAUAUAGCAUUGAAAAUUUCAUUCCCAUAACUGAUUUCUGCGUGUGGAGCUAAAUGAAAACUAACCUGACUUUGGAAAACCCAUAAACAUCAAGAGAUUAAAAAAUUUCAUUCCCAAAAUUUCAUUCCAAAAUUGACAAUUUUCUACCCUUCACUAUCCCAAUGAACUCCAUAAACAAACAUUUGAAAACCUAAGAAACUAACCUGUUAUAGAUGGAACUAAAUGGAAUUAGAUGGAACUUACCUAUUACUGAUGUAUAAAUAGCAACAAUCAGUAACACCAGCAAUUACAAACAACCACUCUUGAUUCAAAUGUACUAACACAUUCGGUUUCUACCAAGAAAUUAUCAAUAUCCAAGUGAAUAACUUCCAAUACUACUGCAAUUUAUAUACAAAUACAUAAGAAUUGAUGUAAUAUUCCAAAAACUGUUACCUAACUUUCAAAAGCUACCAUUCAAGAACAAGUUACUAAACAUUCAAAUGUGGCAUACACCAACUGAAAAUUUCGAAAUUAGCAACCUAAACCUUCCAUUCCAGAGCAACUAACCAAACAUUCAAAGUAUGAUACCAACAAGCAAUAGUCUCAGUUUCAUAAAAUAUUAUCACCAACCAUUCAACUUCAAGUAACCAAACUGAAAAGGAGUACUUUAACAAGCUAAACAUAACAUUCAAAGUUAAGCAUCCACAUAUUUAAGGUAACAUUGAAAGUUAAGCAUCCACAUAUUUAAGGUCUACAAUUUAGAAAUUAACAUCCAUGAAAUUGCAACCCAACAACACUAUUCAGUCAUACAUAUAUAGCAAAACAUACAUGGUUGUGGUGUUCCAAAAACUUAGCUACAUAAAUACACCAAAUCAUGGGCAACUCCUUCUAAUUCCAACAACAAUUGCAGCACAGAAAGUCUGCAAAACCAGUUGAAAAUAUUUCAUACAAAUUAAUAUAUUACUUAUCUACAGAAUUCAACAUAAAUGCAAAGACAAGAAUAGGGUUAAAAGCUAAAAACUGACCUUGUCCAUUUAAGUUUGUCUGUGUUGGUCAAACAUAAUUUGCAGCCAUGACAUUUUUCUGUCAAUACAACCUAUUGCAGCCCACAUCUCCCUCUUGCUCCUCGCACAAAAGAAUUUAGUUGCAAAGGUAUGCAAUGCACUACCAAAUGCAACUCCAUCAAUAGAGUGCAGUUCUUGCAUUACCUCUUCAAUGCUACAACCUUUUUUUUAUCUCUACAAGGAGCUGUGAUCCCUCUAGGCAUGGAGACAGUCUCAACAAGUUUAUCCAGACGUGCAACUAGUACUGCUCCCAUUCCAGUUCCCCUUUUCUUUUUUCACAAUUGAGGUGUAGGCUGAUGUGCACCUUCUCUUUGAACUGCUGGGGUUGCUGCUACUGUUGGCGACAUUGCUUCCACCAACCAUAUUGCUAACAUCAUGUGUGAAAUCAUGGAUUGCAUCCUCUUCAGAGUUGCCACUUCCUUCUUCCAUAUUAGUAUCCUCAUUGGUUGUAUUCCUCAUUCCAGCAGCCAUAUUAUCUUCAUCUGAUAAGAGUCCUUAUGAGGGAGUCCAAGCAUAUUCUCCCGUGGCCACUAUGUUAGUAAACAUGAUAUCGUACUUGGCACACAACGAGGGCUCUAUGUCGACAUGUCUAAACUUCUUUGCUCCUCUCAUUUCCUGUGCAAUGACAGCUAGAUGUAAUUAGGAAUGAUACUAGGUGAAUAAAUAAUACAACAUGAAAAAAAAAAUUAUGAGGCUAUUGCAAAUCAGCAAACUAACCUGAAUUUUUGAUUGCCACCAUUCAUCAGUUGCUGAGAUGGUCCCAAGUUCAGUAGACCAACCAACUCCAGUUUUAGCUAUUAAUUUCUUCUAUACCCUCCAAUCCUUUUUAAUCCCAUCCCAUUUAUUUUUAAGCUGAGAUUUUGAUAAUGAAAGGCCUGUCUGAUCUUUGAAUGACUGUACGAAAAAUUUCCAGCCAGCUUUGUCAAAAUAUGUGUUUGGUCUCAUGCCUCUCUUAAUAGCUGUAAUGCAAAUGUCGCAAAACGUGUGCAACAUUGCCUUGCUCCAAGAAGCUUUGUCAUGUGUGUCAAACCCAUCCAUUGCUUAUGGUUGACAAUGCAAUGAAAAAAUAAACAAUCAAUUAACCAAAUGAACAAGAGAUUGAAUGCUAAUAAGGCCAUAAUACAAUAGUAAUAGAACAGGAAAUUACAUGUGCAGCAAAAGGUCAACCAAAGAAUAACAAAAGGUUGAAUGUUGACAAGGAAUGAAAACAUAAAUAAAGAAAUUAUGUAUAGAAGAAUGGUUGACAAUGCAAGAUAGAAUUCAAAACACAAUUCAAUAUAGAUGAAUAAAGGUUUAAUGCUGAUAAGGGAUGAAAAAAAGAAACUAAGGAACUAGUUAAAAAAAAAUUGCAUGUUGUGAAGUGUGAACUAAGGAACUUAAUAGAAGGAUUGUCAUCAACCUAAAAACCUAGCCACUAUGCCAUAAUCCUAUAACUGUUUAUCAUCAAUUAGCAGGGGAUAUUCUAAUUAGCAACUGAAAUAAUUUGUUUAAGUUAUUAUGUUUAUAGUUGUUAGCAAUCAACAACAAACAAUAGAAUUAUGUAUAACAGAAUGGUUGACAAUGCAAGAUAGAGUUGAGAAUAAUGGAAUGUGUUGGGUUGUUCCUUAGCCAACCUUCCUAUUUAUAUAGAGGCAGCAGAUCAUUGCAGUAACUGUAAUGAUUACAACAUCCUAUAUUAGAAUCCUAUUAUGAUAGAUACAUGAGUAACUAUAAUGAUUACAACAUCUUAUAUUAGAAUCCUAUUCUGAUAGAUACAUGAGUAACUGUAAUGAUUACAACAUCCUAUAUUAGAAUCCUAUUCUAUAAUAUGCCCCAUCAAGCUGAGGGUGGGGGAUCAACCCGAAGCUUGAAUCGAAAAGCAGUAAAGGAUGCAACAUGAAGCGGUUUAGUGAAUACAUCGGCAAGUUGAUCCCGAGAGGGAACAAAAUGAAUCUGAAUUUCUUUCUUGGCAACACGGUCACGGACAAAGUGAUAAUCCACUUCAACAUGCUUAGUACAAGCAUGGAAGAUAGGAUUUGCUGAGAGAUAGGAAGCACCAAGAUUAUCACACCAAAUGGUAGGGGCAGAGACUGAGGGAACCUGCAAAUCUGUUAACAAGUAUUGAAGCCAAAUGACUUCAGCGGUACCAUCAACAAGGGCUUUAUACUCAGCCUCAGUAGAGGAGCGAGCAACAGUGUGUUGCUUGCUGGAUUUCCAAGAAAUCGGCGUCUGACCAAAAAAGACAAGAUAGCCGCCCGUAGACUUGCGAUCAUCAAUACUACCAGCCCAAUCUGCAUCUGUAAAGCCAUGUAGAGCAAAAGAGAAGCCUCGAGUGAUAUGGAAACCAUAAGAUGUCGUACCUUUAAGAUAACGUAAAAUACGUUUGACAGCUGCCCAAUGAGAAUCUGUAGGAGCAUGCAUAAACUGACAGACUCUGUUAACAGCAAAGCAUAUAUCUGGACGGGUGAAGGUAAGAUAUUGAAGAGCACCCACAAUUUGACGAAAUCGUGUAGGAUCAUAGAAUGAAUGAUCUGGUAAUAAAAUGACUUUCGAAGGGGAGACUGGAGUAUCAACUGGUUUGCAGGAAGUCAUACCAGCUCAAGUGAGGAUGUUAAGAAUAUAUUUAUGUUGACGCAACAUUAAACCCAUACUGGUAGACUGAACUUCAAUACCCAGAAAGUAGUGAACAACACCUAAGUCACGAAGCUUGAACUCAGAGCUGAGUAACUAUAUAAGGUGAUGGAGCAUAGCAGAGUUGCUACCCGUGAGCAGAAUAUCAUCAACAUACACUAGGAGAUAAAAGAUAUUAGUACCAUCAGAUAAGAUAAACAGGGAGGUGUCAACCUUGGAAGCUCGGAAACUGAUAGAGAGCAAAAAAUCACUUAGACGAGUGUACCAUGCUCUCGGUGCCUGUUUCAAACCAUACAAUGAUUUGUGCAAUCUGCACACAUGAGAUGGAAGAGUAGAGUCAACGAAACCUGGAGGCUGUUUCAUGUAGACCUCUUCAGUAAGAACACCAUUGAGGAAGGCAUUAUGAAUAUCAAGCUGAUGAAUCUUCCAAUUUUCCAAACCGCGAUAAAGAAAACCAAUCGUACAGUGGCCUGCUUAAUAACUGGACUGAAGGUUUCAGAAUAAUCAAUACCUUCCUGCUGGGUAAAACCUCUAGCAACAAGGCACGCUUUAUAGUGCUCAAUACUACCAUCAACACGACGUUUGAUCCGAUAUACCCAUCUACUGCCAACAACGUUCAUCGAAGGAUGAAAUGGAACCAAAGACCAAGUGCGAUUUUCGCGUAAAGCGGCGAUCUCAUCACACAUAGCAUUAUGCCAAACUGCAUACCGGUCAGCAUCAGAGAAUGCAAAAGGCUCAGAAGAGGGAGAAUACAGUACCCGUGUGGAGGUAGAAGUAGCGGCAGCAGAAGCAACCAGAUUAGCUGUCUUCGGCUGCCGCGGUCUAAGAGUCAUAGGAUGUCUGCUGUGUGCUGGUGGAGACACAGGGGAAGACGGUUGUAGCGAGGAGACCUGUGGCAGCUGAUAAGAAGACAAAUCAACCAUAAGUUGCAGACCAACGGGAGAGGAUGAUAAAGAAGCAGCCUCAAGCACAGGACUGUCAGCAGAGGAGGGGCUGGAAGUAGAGACUGAAGCUGCAGGAGUGCUGGCCAGGGAGGGCGAAGCAGAGGAGGGACUAGAAAGUGCCCCAAGACCAUGAGGAGAGGAGACCAAUUGACGAUCUGAACCUGCAUUAUAAGGGUUAGAUAAACAAGCAUGGGAUGAUGGCCAAGGGAUGGGCGGAGGCUGUGGUCGGUGGCUGUUUGGAGUGGCAAAGCGGAGUGUUGUGGGCUGUUUGGGUGGCUAGUGAAAGUGGGUGGCGGUGGGUGGUUUAGCAAAUUUGGAGGGUGACAGUAGGGGUGGGGUGGGGGUUGUGGUGGAGACCUUUGCAAUCUGUUCAGAAUUAUCAAAUGGAAACACAUGUUCAUGGAAGCGGACAUGACGGAAAUAUAAAUACGGUGAGAUGCAAUGUCAAGACAUCGAUAACCAAGAUGCGAGGAACUAUAUCCAAAAAACACACAUGGAGAGGAACGAAAAUCCAAUUUAUGAUUAUUAUAUGGACGCAGAAAAGGAAAACAGAGACACCCAAAGGUACGCAAAAAAUGAUAAUCAGGAGACCGUUGAAAUAAACAAUCAAACGGAGAGCGAUGGGCAAGAAUAGGAGUAGGCAUGCGAUUUAUAAGAUAAACAGAGGUUUCAAAAGCAUAAUUCCAGAAUCGAAAAGGUGCUUUACAUUGCCCUAAAAGAGUAAGACCUGUUUCCACAAUAUGCCUAUGACGACGCUCUACUGUUCCAUUUUGUUCAUGAGUGUGGGGACAAAUCAGACGAUGAUGAAUACCAAUGGUCUGAAAAAAUGUGGAUAGUUUUCGGUAUUCACCGCCCCAAUCAGUUUGAACAGAUUUUAUUUUUAAUGAAAAUUGACGUUCGACAAGAGUCUGAAAUUGAUGAAAAACAGAGUAAACAUCAGACUUGGCAACGAGAGGAUAAUACCAUACAUAUUUAGUAUAAGCAUCAACAAAGAUAACAAAAUAACGAUAGCCAUCUGAAGAAAAAAGAGGAGCAGGGCCCCAUACAUCACUAAAAAUUAAUUCAAGUGGAGCAGAAGUUUUGUGACCCGUAGGUCCUAAAGACAAACGCGAUGAUUUUCCUAAAGGACAACUUUGACAUUGAAAAUUAAGACGUUUGUUGUUACAAAUGAUCUUAUUUUUCGAGAUUAACAAUUGAAAAAUACGUGAAGUAGGAUGACCUAGUCGACGAUGCCAUAAAUCGGCAGAGGCAGAAGUGCAGGGAGACCAAUAGGCUUGAGGAACUGACGUGACGGAAGACUUGGUCAGGGCAUAGAGACCAUCUUUACUCUGACCUGAGAGAAGGACUUCAUGGGUGUUGAAAUCCUUGACAUAAAACACACGAGGGUGAAAUUCAAAAUAAACAUUAUUAUCAAGACAAAAUUUCUGAACAGAGAGCAGAGGUUUUGUGAUUGCAGGAACAUGAAGAACAUUAGAUAAGGUGAAAGAACGAUGUGGUGUAUAUAUUUUUGUAUGACCAAGAUGAGAUAUAGGAAGGCCCUUACCAUCACCAACAUGCAAAUUAUCAUUACCAAGAUACGGUUCUGAAGCGGUCAAGGUGGCAAGAUCAGGUGUGACGUGUUGAUUGGCACCGGUAUCUGGAAACCAAUCAACAGAACCGGUUGAGGAGAGAUUGCGCUGCACCAGGUUGGCAGUAGGUUGUUGGCCAUAACCUCGCUGCUGGAAUUGAGGGCAAUGGGAGCUGUAUGGCCGAAAUUCUGACACAGUUGGCAGCGUGGAUUCUGCCCCCUAUUGCGCUGCCAAGAGCCCUGCCUAUUGUCACCGAAGGAGGAGUUUUGGAAGCUGCGGUGAUCAGGUCUGGAGCCAGCAAAUCGGUUGCCUCUGCUGUUGGACUGGUUGGGACGCCAGCCACCGUUGAAGCGGCCCCUGCUGCGGCCAGAAUUGCCAAAAGUCUGGCGCUGCGCAACAAGAGCAGAAGAUGGAAUGCUGGGUGUGGGCAGCAGAGGAGCAUGUAUGGCAGCAGAAGAUUUGUGAAGAAAUUCAUGUGUGAGGAGAUGGCUGUGAAGAUCUGCAUAUGAUAAAGGUUCAGCCUUGGUAAUAAGACUGGUAACUAAGUCUUUAAACUCUCCCCGAAGACCACGAAACACAUAUAAAUUGAAAUCUUCAAGCGAAACUGGCCGACCAGCAGCGGCCAAUUCAUCAAAUAAGGCCUUCGCUUUUUGCAUAAAUUGAGUUACUGAUUCAUCACCCUGUCGAAGAUCCUGAAGAGAGCCGUGAAGUUGCAUAAUACGAGAGUUGGAGGUGGAAGCGAGAGCUCGCUCAAGAGUGCCCCAAGCUGAACAAGAACUUUGACAGCCAACAACAAGAUGCAAAACUUCCAUAGAUAGGGAGGAAAGAAGAGCACUUAGAAUGAGUUGGUCCUGUUGUUUCCAGGUUUGAAAAAGCGGAUUUACCUGAAGAGAGAUACCAUCAUGGGCAAGAACAUGUGUUGAUGGACAUGUGUUGGAGCCAUCAACAAAACCAAAAACUCCUUGGCCUAGGAGAUAAGGCAGCAUCUGCAUACGCCAAUAUAAAUAAUUGGUGUUUGUUAAUUUGAGGGAGAUGACUUGAUGAGUGUGAGAAAGGGAGAUAAUGCUUGCGGCAGUAGAGGCAGCAGACGUGGGCUGCUAGAGGAGGCGUUCACCAGCCAUGGCAGAGGAGAAUCCAGGCGGUGACGCAGCAGAGGAGGCGCUGCAAGAGAAGAGGGCUGCACUGUCGGAGAAGAAGAAAGCUGGACUACUAGUGCUGCAGAAUUUGAAGAUGUAUGUGGCGGCUGUUCCAUUGAAGAAGGGAGGCUGUGAGAAAAGUAGGUUUAAUUUAUUUUAGGGUUUUGUGGCUCUGAUACCAAGUUGAGAAUAAUGGAAUGUGUUGGGUUGUGCCUUAGCCAACCUUCCUAUUUAUAUAGAGGCAGCAGAACACUGCAGUAACUGUAAUGAUUAUAAUAUCCUAUAUUAGAAUCCUAUUCUGAUAGAUACAUGAGUAACUAUAAUGAUUACAACAUCCCAUAUUAGAAUCUUAUUCUAUAAUAAAUAGAAUUUAAAACACAAUUCAAUAUAGAUGAAUAAAGCUUUAAUGCUGAUAAGGGAUGAAAAAUAAUUGCAUGUUGUGAAGUGUGAACUAAGAAACUUAACAAAAGGUUUGUCAUCAAUUAGGAGGGGAUGUUCUAUAUAUAUAUAUAACUAUUAUUUUAAUGUACAUUUAAUAACUUUUUAUAUUUAUAUAUAUAUUAUUUUAAAUGUUUUAAUCUUAAAUGUUUAUUAUAUAUAUAGUUAUAUAUAGAGUAUAUAUAUUAUUUUAUAUAUAAGAGCAUGGAAAUACCAAGAUCGUCGUAAUGAGCAUUGAAGAUGUGGUUGACGAAUGUACAAUGUUCUACUUUGCUGGACAAGAAACAACCUCAGUUCUUCUUACCUGGACCAUGGUUUUAUUGGCUCAGUAUCCGAAUUGGCAAGCACGCGCAAGAGAAGAGGUUGUGCAAGUCUUCGGUAACAAAAAACCAGAUUUUGAUGGGAUAAAUCACCUUAAAGUUGUGAGUAUUUCUCUGCAUUUGCAACUGAAUUCUUGUACAUCAAUAUUGUUUUAUUAUUGUUAAGAACACAGAGCAUUCUUGCAUUUAAAAUGCAAGCGUAGGUAUUCUUUGAAGAAAAAAUAAGAGAGCAGAAAUAAAAAACGUUCAUGUUUUCAUUCGUUGAAUUAUUAAUCGGCCAAAAUGACGAGGAAAAGCAACCAACAGAUGAGUACGCAAGCAAGCUAGGAGGUGACAUCUAUAUACAUUAAGAAUGAGAUUUACUAGUUCUUGGGUCAACAUAAAAAUUCUCAAAUUAGUAAGUUGAAAUGGCAUGCAAAUGAUCUCUAUAUAUGCGAUAUUCUAUUUUAUCAAAGUGGAUCGCAUGUCACCUUUUUAAUGGAUUCUUACCAUGUAGUAUCAUUUUCUCUUUUGAUGCAUGUUACAGGUUACCAUGAUUUUGUAUGAAGUUCUUAGGUUAUACCCGCCGGUAAUUAUGCUUAAUCGAGAUGUUCAUGAAGAAAUAAAGCUCGGAAAUUUGCUAUUACCUGCCGGAGUGCAGGUCUCGGUGCCAACAAUCCUCCUUCACCAAGAUCAUGAACUAUGGGGUGAUGAUGCCUCUGAGUUCAAACCAGAGAGGUUUGCUGAAGGUGUUUCAAAGGCUACAAAGAGUCAAGUCUCAUUCCUUCCAUUUGGAUGGGGUCCUCGGAUAUGCGUUGGACAGAACUUUGCUUUGAUUGAAGCAAAAAUGGCUUUGGCAAUGGUUUUACAGCGUUGCUCUUUUGAGCUCUCUCCGUCGUAUAUUCAUGCUCCUCGCACAGUCAUAACUCUUCAGCCACAGCACGGUGCUCCAAUGAUAUUACGUAAACUCUAAAAUGUUCAUAUGUGACGGGUAAGAGUUAUCCCAGGGUAUAAAGUAGGUUGGAUCUCCCAACAAACCAAACCAAAAACAAAGCCUCUAGUGUAUAAUAUUAUGUGCAAAUUAUGCUAUCAUGUCCAAUGACAU
Molecule: long non-coding RNA, 13609 nt
Filed under: Populus tremula
Lineage: Eukaryota; Viridiplantae; Streptophyta; Magnoliopsida; Malpighiales; Salicaceae
Description: long non-coding RNA (PTRE_LNC000608)
Source: RNAcentral